GGCCCAUAGGUUGGGUCGUGACAGAAUCGAGGGGUGUUCUUCGGGUUGGUGUUGUCAGCAGCAACAAUGCUUCUCAAUGGGAGUGCCCUCCUGAUCCUAUAUAUGGGUUCGUUAAAUGCAAUAUCAAUGCAGUUGUCUUCGAGAAUCAAUUUGCAGGUCUUGCGCGAUGCCCGUGUAAUUGUAAUCUCUGCUAUGACUUGUUCACUACCUAGUUAUUUGCAUCAAGAAAGGCUGAAGCUAGAGGUUUUCGGGAAGCCAUUAAUUAUAGUUAGGUGGGUCUUGCGAGAGGAGGUCCAUCGGGUUAUCUUUGAGUCUGAUGCACAAGAAAUUCUGCAUGCAUUGAGUUCACGUGCUGACAAUGUAUCUGAGUGUGGUACUAUUAUUGCUGAUUGCAAGCUGCUUUUGAUACGAGGAGCUUUUGAUCCGAGGAGAUGAACUUUAUUGGGAGUGGGUUAAGAGGCAAGCUAGCAAUGUGGCUCAUAGCUUCUCUUGUUUGUAUGCUUCUCCUUGUUAGGACGAGCUUCCUUCUUGUACUACUAAUUCACUUUCUGAUUCGUUGGUCAAGU
Molecule: unclassified non-coding RNA, 566 nt
Filed under: Hevea brasiliensis (rubber tree)
Lineage: Eukaryota; Viridiplantae; Streptophyta; Magnoliopsida; Malpighiales; Euphorbiaceae
Source: RNAcentral